UAAUUGGCCCUUUUUAGGGCCACCAAAUAUCUGACGAAAGGGUUUUU
Culex pipiens (northern house mosquito) is the source of this 47-nucleotide non-coding RNA. NCBI's taxonomy places the organism in Eukaryota, Metazoa, Arthropoda, Insecta, Diptera, Culicidae. The record is from Rfam.